This 453-nucleotide ribosomal RNA is filed under the name uncultured bacterium. Its description in RNAcentral is "bacterial SSU rRNA". It matches the Rfam family "Bacterial small subunit ribosomal RNA", at positions 8 to 507 of the family's 1533-position model. The record is from RNAcentral.
AGAGUUUGAUCCUGGCUCAGAACGAACGCUGGCGGCAUGCCUAACACAUGCAAGUCGAACGAGACCUUCGGGUCUAGUGGCGCACGGGUGCGUGACGCGUGGGAAUCUGCCCUUGGGUUCGGAAUAACAGUUAGAAAUGACUGCUAAUACCGGAUAAUGUCUUCGGACCAAAGAUUUAUCGCCCAGGGAUGAGCCCGCGUAGGAUUAGCUAGUUGGUGAGGUAAAGGCUCACCAAGGCGACGAUCCUUAGCUGGUCUGAGAGGAUGAUCAGCCACACUGGGACUGAGACACGGCCCAGACUCCUACGGGAGGCAGCAGAGGGGAAUAUUGGACAAUGGGCGAAAGCCUGAUCCAGCAAUGCCGCGUGAGUGAUGAAGGCCUUAGGGUUGUAAAGCUCUUUUACCCGGGAUGAUAAUGACAGUACCGGGAGAAUAAGCCCCGGCUAACUCCGUG